This 486-nucleotide ribosomal RNA is filed under the name uncultured bacterium. RNAcentral describes it as "partial 16S ribosomal RNA". It matches the Rfam family "Bacterial small subunit ribosomal RNA", at positions 30 to 507 of the family's 1533-position model. The record is from RNAcentral.
AUUGAACGCUGGCGGCAUGCCUUACACAUGCAAGUCGAACGGCAGCACGGGUGCUUGCACCUGGUGGCGAGUGGCGAACGGGUGAGUAAUACAUCGGAACAUGUCCUGUAGUGGGGGAUAGCCCGGCGAAAGCCGGAUUAAUACCGCAUACGAUCUACGGAUGAAAGCGGGGGACCUUCGGGCCUCCCGCUAUAGGGUUGGCCGAUGGCUGAUUAGCUAGUUGGUGGGGUAAAGGCCUACCAAGGCGACGAUCAGUAGCUGGUCUGAGAGGACGACCAGCCACACUGGGACUGAGACACGGCCCAGACUCCUACGGGAGGCAGCAGUGGGGAAUUUUGGACAAUGGGCGAAAGCCUGAUCCAGCAAUGCCGCGUGUGUGAAGAAGGCCUUCGGGUUGUAAAGCACUUUUGUCCGGAAAGAAAUCCUUGGCCCUAAUACGGUCGGGGGAUGACGGUACCGGAAGAAUAAGCACCGGCUAACUACGUG